This 675-nucleotide ribosomal RNA is filed under the name uncultured bacterium. RNAcentral describes it as "bacterial SSU rRNA". It matches the Rfam family "Bacterial small subunit ribosomal RNA", at positions 8 to 686 of the family's 1533-position model. The record is from RNAcentral.
AGAGUUUGAUCCUGGCUCAGGAUGAACGCUAGCGGCAGGCCUAACACAUGCAAGUCGAGCGGGAUCCACCUUCGGGUGGUGAGAGCGGCGCACGGGUGCGUAACGCGUAUACAACCUACCUUUUGCUACGGGAUAGCCCAGAGAAAUUUGGAUUAACACCGUAUAGUAUAGAGACCUGGCAUCAGGAUUUUAUUAAAGGCUACGGCAAAAGAUGGGUAUGCGUCCUAUUAGCUAGAUGGUGCGGUAACGGCGUACCAUGGCAACGAUAGGUAGGGGCCCUGAGAGGGGGAUCCCCCACACUGGUACUGAGACACGGACCAGACUCCUACGGGAGGCAGCAGUGAGGAAUAUUGGACAAUGGGCGCAAGCCUGAUCCAGCCAUGCCGCGUGCAGGAAGACUGCCCUAUGGGUUGUAAACUGCUUUUAUACGGGAAGAAACACCCCCUCGUGAGGGGGCUUGACGGUACCGUAGGAAUAAGGAUCGGCUAACUCCGUGCCAGCAGCCGCGGUAAUACGGAGGAUCCAAGCGUUAUCCGGAAUCAUUGGGUUUAAAGGGUCCGUAGGUGGACGAUUAAGUCAGGGGUGAAAGUCUGCAGCUCAACUGUAGAAUUGCNCUUGAUACUGGUCGUCUUGAGUUACUAUGAAGUGGUUAGAAUAUGUGGUGUAGCGGUGAAA